ACAUCGUAAAUCAACUAUAGUAAAAUUUUUUAAACAUAAAAUAAAAAGGGUUUAUACUGAAGGAAAGAAAGAAAUUGAGAAAGAAAUUGAGAAAGAAAGAAAAAGAAAUUAAGAAAGCAAAUGUUACCUCAAACUAUUCCUCUGACCAGAAAAAAAGAACUGGUUUUAAAGAUUUUUUUAAGAUAAUUUUUUAGAUGAAAGUAGGCAAAUUAUUUAAUUCUGUGGACCAAAUCCAAUAACUCAGAGUAUUGGGAUAUUAUUUCCUAAAUGGGAGCCAUAAAAUUAUGCUAUUUCAUUCUCUGUAGGUCUCACUGGCUUAGAGUCACCAUGAUUAUUUUUUACAAUCAGUUGUAAAGACAGAGUGGUUGUUAAGUUUCUCCUAAAAAGUAAAGAUACAUUUUAAGUUACAUUUUAAGAGGAAUCAUCACGUUCCAAUAAGAAUCCAAAUAUUGACUAAGAAAAUUGUUAAUAUUUAAUCACACAGGAUUCAUUUCAACAAGUCGAGGCUGGAGUUUGGUUCGUAGGAGUUAUUUAUGGAAAUUAGAUAAGUGAGUCAAAAUGAAAAAGCUCCAUUACAGAGCUACAGUGGCUGCUCUUGCAGUAGAAGAAAGAUAAAAGCAAUGUCUAAAGUAACUAUGCUAUCUUUGUUUUUGUUUUGUCACAAAGAGAUAAACUAAACUGUAUUUCGAUGGAUUUUCAAUGCACUAAGUCAACUUAGCACAUAUGGCAAAGGGAGAUUAUUGUCAGAUAGAAUGACUGAAUGGUCCCUAGGAGAAAAAAAAAAAAAAACACAUUUCUAAAACUUAUUAAAUUUCAUUAUUAUGAAAAAUUAACAAGGUAGAAUUAGACAGAUUGGGGAAAUUAUUUAGUUAAUAUCAAACUUUGCUUUUACAUCAAAGUAUCCCUUCCUGCUCCCUCCACCUCAGAUCUAAAUCACUUGUCUCAAGUACCUGGAUUUUUUUUUUUUCUGUACAAGAAAUACAUAAUAAUAUCUGGUGGGCGAUGUCGCAGACAUGUUUUUCCAAUCUUCUUGCUUGAUCAUCUGUCAAGAGACAUGUUUUUCCAAUCUUCUUGCUUGAUCAUCCACCCAUAGCCCCUCCUCACGUGAUCUCAUCAAAAGUAAUAUAAAAGCAGUGUGGUUUCUUGGGGCGGGGAUCUCGGUUUCAGAGACCUUGAGUCCUCCAGUUCUCACCUUUACUGUCUCUGUGUUUUGUUUUGUGUUGGCAUUUUGUUUUGUGUUGGUUUUUUCCUUAAGUUCCAGAGCACCUGUUCUUCAGCCUCAUCCUGCUGAGCUGGUCUCGGCAAGUGGCGCCCAACGUGGGGCGGACAAAUAGGCAGGAGUGAGGUGACGAGGACUCGUCAAGCCUCUACUUCUAGGGUUGCAAAGAAAAUGAGCGCUGUCCAUGAACACCAUCUAUCAUCCCUUCAACAGGGGAUAUUACAGACUCGAAGGGAAGGCGAUUUGGACGCCAUACAUUUAGCCGUUCCAGUAACUGUCGGGGAGACAGCAGCUCCAGGCAUUGAUCCCGCCAACCCUGAUGGAGUUUGAGUUCAUUCAUGAGCCCUUUCCUUUUAAAAUUCUUAAAGAAUUAAAACAGGCCGUUCAAAAGUGUGGUGUUAAUUCUCCCUUUACAAAGGGAAUCAUGCAGGGAGCAGCUGAAGGAAAUCGUAUGAUUGCUGCUGAUUGGCAUAACUUAACCCGUGGUGUGGUAUCACCUAGUGAAUAUUUACAAUUUAAGUCUUGGUGGCAAGAUCAUGCCCAAAUUACUGCUCAUCGUAAUCAGGCUCGAAAUCUUCGAAUUACAAUGGAACAAUUGUUAGGGACUGGUCCUUGGAGUAAUCCCCAAGAUCAAAUGAGAAUGAAUGAUUUAGCUAUUGAACAGAUUAGGCAGUGUUGCUUAAUGGCAUGGGAUAAAAUUGAAUCUAAGGGUCUAAUAAAUACUUCUUUUCAAAAGAUCCUACAAAGCCCUAACGAACCUUAUACCGAAUUUCUAGCUCGUUUACAAGAGGCAUUAAAAUGACAAAUUACUAACUCUGAGGUGUCUGAUACUAUUUUUCAAUUGUUAGCAUAUGAAAAUGCAAAUACUGAUUGCAAAAAGGCCAUAGGAUUUUUAAAAGGAAAAGCUAACAUUGCUGAAUAUAUUAAAGCCUGUCAGGGAGUGGGGACGGCAUCCUUUAAGGCCUCAAUGUUAGUCCAAGCAAUGGCUAAUUUGAAGAAAGCCUCUUACUCCAAAUAAUGACAGGCUGGAGUUUCGCUUAAGGUCAGGUGAAACCAGUUGAUAUGGGGAUGCCUGAAAGGACUUUAUGUACCUUCAAGAGAAUGAAAAAUCAAAUUCAUUGGAAUAUAUGCAGGACUAUGGAGGGGGUCAUACUGCUUAAUGGUUCCUAUGGAACUGUAGGGGAUUGGUCCCCUAAGGGGAAGCCGAUUCCUGUCUGUAUGAGCCAUCAACUUCUGUGUUCUGUUAAUGAAUUACUCUCUUGGACAGUCUCUAGCCAAUCAGGCCAACAAGAAAAAAAAUUUUUUUAAAUUAAAAAAGAAAAAAAUACAAUGUCUUCGAAACUGCUCAAAUCAAAGCUGGGGCCAAUGAAGGGAAUGAUGCUAUAAAUGCCAGAGGCAAAUUAGAAGAGAUAGAACAAGAUUCCCCACAGGGUGUCAGGUGGUUUCUAUGGGUGAUCCCAUUCGGUUUGUUGAUGAGGGAGAGAACCACAACUGGCAUAGAAAUCAUUUUGUUACUUGUAUAGUAGAGGGAUUAAAAGCCUCACGAGUAAAGCCCGUUAAAAACUAUCGGAGGUUUACUAGGGGAACAAGAGAGUCCAUCAACUUUCUUAGACUCAGAAAGGCAUUGAGAAAACAUAUACCAAGGAACCCAGAAACAAUGGAGAGCCAAAUAAUUCUUAAGGAUAAAUUCAUAGCUCAAUCGCUGCCGGAUAUAUGGAGAAAGCUCCAAAAAUUGGCUUUUGGCCCUGAUCAGGACCUGGAGCACCUCCUCAGAGUAGCAACUCAAAUAUGUUAUAAUCGGGGCCAGGAAGAAUGAAAGGAGAACAAGAAGAGAAAAGGCUGAGGCUCUAGUUACAGGACUAGAGGGAGUCAACCUGGGAGCUUCCAAGGUGAGAGGACUAGGGCAGAGACCUAUGCCCGGAGCCUGUUUCCUCUAUGGAAAAGAGGGAUCCUUUAAAUGGGAAUGUCCUUAGACUCAGCUGUGCCCCAUAUGUUGGGGAGAUCACUGGAAGAGGGACUGCCCCUGAAGACGAAGGUCUCUGUGGUGGACCCCUCAGGCCCAGGAUCAAGACUGACGGGACAUUUCCAUAAUGGCCCCUGUCCUUAUCACCACUUAGGAGCCACUUUUUAGUCCUCCCUUCCAAUCCCGGGCCCCUCCCUCAUGAAUCUGCCACAUUCAUGUUUCUGGCAAGCCGGUUACAAAAUUUUUACACAACCUUUGAGUUGUGACUGGGAAUCCAUUUUCUUUUCUCAAUGCCUUUCUGAUUGUUCCAGAGUCCAACUCAUCUUUUAGAAAGACAUUUUGUAAGAGGUUAAAGCCUCAAUUCACAUGGCAAUGGAGGACUUCCCAUGUGGCUCACAACAUAACUACUCGGCAAUCCCUCACAUUUUAUUUUUGUGUAGUAUGUUAAUUAUGAGCAAAAUGAUAGUGUAUGUCAGUCAAAUACAAAGCUUUCCUUUUAUUAGUAUUAAAACCUGGUGAUUGAUGCAUAAGCUCAUGGAAAUUAUCAGGUUAAUCUGAACAAUAUAUUAGUUCCUUUCAGCUCACAAUCUGUUAUUUCACAGACCAUGGUUAAUAGAAUGCCCCCAAAAAUAAAAAAAUAAAUAAAUAAAAAAAGAGAGGGGAGGAAUAUAUGCCAAUGGAGCCUCAUCAAGGUUUCUGCAUUUCCUUGACUAAGACCUUACUAUUACAAAAUCUAAAUGUUGUAUUCCUGAUGUUCAUAGAAUGUGUCUCAUUCCCUGCUGGAUUUUCAACAGUAGAUUCAUGAGCUGUCCUAUCCAGCUCCAACUUUUGGAGCUGCCUUGUGGAACCAGCUGACCUCCUCCUCCUGGUGAAAAUGUUUCUUUCGCCGUAUUCAUUGUGAUCUUGAUCCUUUUAUUCAGACCCUGUAUAAUUAAUGGUAUUUCUUGCUUCAUUACAUCUUGAUUAAGAGCUAUCAGUGUUCAAAUGUUGAUAGAAGGGGUGUCCAAAGCAAUGUAUCAAGGCCCACUUGACCAUCCCAUGAGUGGAGACCUAACUGCUUUCCCUAACUACGCCCCUUUUCAGCAGGAAGAAGUUAGAGCGGUCGUCGCCCCUUUUCCCACAGUUAGAGUCUCCAACUCGGGGAUGGGGAUUGAGAAUAUGGGCUUUGAUACAUUCUUUGAUGUGGCUAUCCAUUAACAUUUGUAACUUAAGGGUCGCAUAGAACCCCAGCUGCUACAGAGUUUACAGUUAUUACCCCGUGGAACCAUCCUCUGCUACCACAUCAUAGUCAAGAAGUCUGCAUCCACGGCUGACAUGGACACCUGGGAGGCUGUGCAGCACCUCGAGAAUCCCCUCAUGGUUGAGUUCCAGAGACUCCCUUUGCCAUCGUCAGAGAGCACUGAGCCCUGCUCUGGCCACCCCUGGAAACUGGUCAGUCUAAGCACGGCUGAAGCCCGAGGAGUUCCACAUGAGACCAAACUUGGACUCGUGUUCUGUCUAUAGAUGCACAAAGUGAGCGAUUUAAGAAGUAAUGAAGAAAAGAAGUUGCAAGGUCUAUUUUUGCCCUCCUGCAAAAACAAAAAGGGGGAGAUGUCGUGAGACAUGUUUUUCCAAUCUUCUUGCUUGAGCAUCUGUCAAGAGACAUGUUUUUCCAAUCUUCUUGCUUGAUCAUCCACCCAUAGCCCCUCCUCACGUGUUCUCAUCAAAAGAGUAAUAGAAAAGCAGUGUAGUUUCUUGAGGCGGGGAUCUUGGUUUCAGAGACCUUGAGUCCCCCGGUUCCCACCUUUACUGUCUCUGUGUUUUGUUUUGUGUUGGCAUUUUGUUUUGUGUUGGUUUUUUCCUUAAGUUCCAGAGCACCCAUUCUUCAGCCCCAUCCUGAUGAGCUGGUCUCGGCAGGGAGAUAAUUUAUAAAUCACUUAUGGAAACUUCCCCUAAGCUAACGAGUUUGUGGUUACCAAGAGUGUCAAUGAAUUUCGAAUUUAAAAAAAAAAAAAUGAAAUGAUUGUGUACAUAAACUAAAAUAAAUUUGAUACAUGUUUAACAAUGGAAAGAAAAUCUAGCUAAUUAUUAGAAGUUUACUUAAAGAGGAUAACAUUUUGGCUACUAAGUUUUUACCUUCCUAAUACUUCUGUGCUGUAAGAAGUAUGGCUUAUUUUUAUAUAUAUGUUUAUAAUGUGUUUAUUAUUUGGAGAGAUACCUAAUCUGUAAGUGUUAUGAUUAAAGUCUUACUUGAGAUUUUAAAAAAC
Molecule: non-coding RNA, 5428 nt
Organism: Sus scrofa (pig)
Lineage: Eukaryota; Metazoa; Chordata; Mammalia; Artiodactyla; Suidae
Source: RefSeq, a predicted model, not a curated record